Long non-coding RNA from Astatotilapia calliptera (eastern happy), 1413 nucleotides. The record is from Ensembl. NCBI's taxonomy places the organism in Eukaryota, Metazoa, Chordata, Actinopteri, Cichliformes, Cichlidae.
CGUCGCUCAGACCAUCACACCUCUCUGUGCUCUCUCUGCUCUCUGCUUUCUUCAUCUCCAGGUCUCCCAUCUGUCCCUGUCUCUACCAUCCUCAUCCUCACUCUGUCUCUCCAUGGGAGUCAUGUCCUCCCCCAGGUUCCUGUCACUUCAUCUGCUUGGAGCCUUGCUGCUGCCGCUGCUGCUGCUGCCUGGUUCUUGGGCCCAGCAUUAUGAUGAUUUCACAUCAUCUCCAGAUUACGACUCUGACUACAACUCCACCUUUGAGUACAGCUUCUUCAGUAAUACGAGCAGCGAGGACCUGGACAGACUUGUGGAACGCUACCUCGAUCCAGACGAAACUACGGAGGACACUGGAGGACCAGAGGAGGAAGUGGCUGUAACCAUGGUGAUUACAAGAAGAACAACAGAGGGGGUCAACGCUCACGGCACUGCACCAUUUCAGUGUCCAGGUUGGGUCACUGUUGGACGUCCUAUAGAUGUCCAGAAUUGGUCAUGGACCGGCAGACCCAAUAUAGACCUGACGUCCAAUGUCCAGUGGGAAAUCAGGACGCUGCUCUGGACUCUGGUGAUCCUGUUGGUCCUGCAGCAGCUGCAACACACACUCUGGUGACAGGUGUCGAGACAAGCCCCUCAGCUCCGUCCUCAGUGAACAUGGCUCCUCAUGGGAGCAGGUGGACCAAUCACAGAGCUUCUUUCCUGAACCAUUUCAGAAAGUUUGCAGACAAACGCCUGGAAGAUUUCACUACGUGGUGACAUUUUUAUUAUACGUAAAGAAGUUUUUUGAUGGAACUGCUGAAUAAGCCAUACUUUAGAAAAGAUGUUUAUAUUUGUAAUAAAAAGAUGUUUUUAAAGACAAUAUGAAGUUAUUUUGUGUCCUUAUUGUGCAAACAAACAACAUAAGUGUUUGUAGUUGAGUGCAAACAAGCACUGUGUUACAGAAUAAACAUGUUGAUGGACGGGGUCAGCGGGGGCCUGGAGCUUUCAUUUUUUCUCCAAAUCACAAGUGUUGUUGGCUGAACUGUGAAACGUCAGCUGAAAGAUUUCUAUUACAGCAGAACCGUCACUGUGCAAACGUUUGCAUCUGUUCAUAUUCAGGAUCCAGGAGCGGAUUUGGAUCCACAGUUUAAUCACAGAUUUAUUUGACUUGCGAUACAUUUUUGAUUGUGCUGUUUAUAGUUUUCCUCUAAAUCCUGUUUGUUUGCAUAAAAAAGACACAAAAGUGACAGAAUAAAAACACGAUUGUAUGAAUGAGCAUAUUUGCAGAUACAUUUAUAUAUAAACAAAUAAAGAUGAAGUAUUUAAAGUGGACCCCAGCAUCCUCCGUGGUUACAAUCAUCAGUUUGUCAGCGACAUGUUUGAUUGUUUAUUUGGAUGUUUGAUCUUCCUGUUCGAAAAAACAAAACUGCAGUCCCA